CAACUACAUGUCCCAGAAAGCCCUGCUCUCGGGUUCUCCUUCCGGCUGCCUUCUCCGGACUUCCUGGCAGCCCGAGGCUACCCGGACCGGCACCGAAACUCCGAGGCAACUCUUCACUUGUCAGAGAUACUGCGACCGGUUUCCGCACAUGCGCGCUCGAUGUCUGCAGCGCCCACUCGACGCUGAAGUAGCGGCGCGACUGGUGCGCUAGCGUUUACGAUAGGGUGAGGUGUGGACGACAGAGCCUGGAGCCCUUUGUCAGGGAACUGAACACACACACCUGCCCAGGAACUGGGGAAGCUGGAGGAGUCUCUAGAGGAAGGUGAAGGGAUUACAGACCCAGCUGUUCCUCACAUGAAGGAGGCAGACACCGGUGGUCCAGUGAAGCAGAGCCCUCCACAAGCCCGCCAGCCCAGACUCAGCUACCUUUUUG
This is a long non-coding RNA of Capra hircus (goat), 433 nucleotides long. RefSeq lists it as uncharacterized. NCBI's taxonomy places the organism in Eukaryota, Metazoa, Chordata, Mammalia, Artiodactyla, Bovidae. The transcript has 3 exons. The record is from RefSeq and is a predicted model, not a curated record.